UAUGUAAUUUCCCGUUUAUCUAAGUACUAAUAUAUUAGUCUUUAUUUCAUCAUUUAUUAUUGCUGAAAAGUCUUCCUGAAUACUUGUUUCUUAAAAUCUUCAUAAGGUAGUUUUUGUUUUGUUUUAACUCACUGUAUUAGUAGCCAAACAUGCGAGUGGCAAUACCUGAAAAAGAACAAAUAAAAAUAGAGAGGCUAGGUGCUUAAAUUCCAAAGUAUUUAGGGUCAGAUCUUUGUCCAGCAUUCCUGGGUGUGACUCUGACCUGGCCACAUGUUUUGGGUUUUAUUUGUAAAUGAAGGAUUAUAGCUUUCAUUUCCAGGAUCAUAGUGAGGAAGUAUAUGAUACAUUCCAUAACUCUCCCAGAUUGUUGUAAUAGCCUCUAGAUGGACUCUCUUGCUUUUAAUACAGCUGUGUUCCUAAAACAUGAUCUUGUCUUUAUUGUAUUUAAAUUUGUACUUGGAUUUUCCAGCUCUUGCACAGUAAGUUAGACUUUACAACUGAGCCUGCUAGACCCUCCAAACCAGCUUUAGUCUGUCUUUUGUUUUCAGUUUCAGGUACUCACAGAUUUAGGUGACCAGUGUUUGGAUCUUUCUAAAUCUGUCUAGCUAUUUGUAUGCCAUCUUGGUUUUACUUUAUAUCAUGUCCUUUAUGGGAAAUAUGCCCCAAAGCUAUAGACAUGAGCCUGGAAGUCCAGUCCUUUGUCUUUACUCACAUCUGCUUGAAAAAGCCCAUCUUCCUUCCUGUACCUCUAAAAUGUAACUUCUUCAAGAUUCAAUUCAAAUGCUACAUUCCUUGCCUUAUGUGAAAACUUUCCCUCAGAGUGACUCCAUGAUCUACUGAAUUUCAGGACUUUUGUACACUCUCUACUUAAUUUGACAACUGGAUACACACACACACACACACACACACACACACUUCCCAAGGCAAAAGCAAGAGGUUUAUUUUCUGGUGUGUGGAGCAGGGAGAAGGGUUGGAGGAACGGGUCAACCCUCAAUCAGUCCUUCUAGGUGAGUGACAAGAAGGCAACCCUGAAUAGCUACUACAGGAAGGUUUUAUACUUUUUAGGGGCACAGGUUACAUCAGCAAGGUUACAGUUCAAACUUAUUGGCUAAACAUAUUGACCUUUAAAUCUAUUGGCUAGCAAACAUGACACACAUUUGAACUCUUCCUUGGACUUUCCAGAGGGUUAGGUAACUAUUAGUACAUUCUGAGAAUUUUUUACUCAGGAAUGUUCCUCUGGGUAGAGAAUGGAACUUGGCCUAGCCACCCCAGGCAGGAGGAGAGAGCUGUAAGGAGGAAGUUGAACUGGAAAAAGCCCUUAUGGUCCCUCAUUCCCCACCUUUUACUUGUAUAAGCUCCAAUCCUGGAGCUGUGCUCAGGGUCUUGGGUAACUAACUCAUAGUCUUCAGGUCCUGUCCUCAGGGUCUCAUAUUGUUGGUGCAGGACCAUCAGCUACACUGCUCCCAUUCUCUCUUUUCUGAAGGCUAUAAACUUAUUCAGUAUGCAGGAUCCAAAGGUCAACAAGAGCAGGAAAACAAUUAGGGAUCCUAACAAGGUAGAUAUGAGGGUGGUUAACCAAGACUCAAACCAGCCCUGACUCUGUUCAUGUUUUUCUUCCACUUGGCUAGCCCUUCUCUCACCUUGGCCAUUGAAUGUUUAACAACCCCAGAAUGGCCUAUAUAAAAGCAACACUCCUCAGCUAAAGCAGCACGUAGCCCUCCUUGCUGCAGGGAAAGUUAAGUUUAAUCCCCUCCUAUUCUGUAGUACGACUUCUAAUAAUGAACUCAAUGAUUCUUGAAGGUGACUGAUGGCAGGUUCUGUUCUCUCUAUGUCUAAAUCAGUGUCUGCCCUCAGACUGUCAUAAUUUUUCCCUUAUAAGGCCCAAGCUGAGGGCCAGUGGCUGCACUGACCACUCCCAAUCCCAAUAGAAGGGAGACAAUGAGCAUUUUUGGUAUUUUUAAAGACUAUGACACAGAUUCGAAUCUAAAUCCAAACUAGUGAAGGAGUAAAUUUUUGAAAAGAUUGUGAAAAUAUAAUAUUUUAAUGAACAAAACCUUCCAAAAACGAUUUUUAAAGUUGCACUCAUUGUGCUCAACGCUCUGCAUUUGUUUCACCAUUUAAAGGGCUGCAUGUAUACAUGCAAACCAUGACACAGUUUCCUUGAUACGGCCAGCCAAUUUUGCCACUCUUUAUUAAUUAGCACAGCAAAAUAACAAAAGAGAACAGUGUAUGAAAGGUUCUGGAAAACUGGAAUUUCACUGGAUCCUAUUGGUUCCAUCAAUGGUCCUAUGUUUUUUAUCAGCUGUGCUGUUCUUACUGAGCAAAUUCUAGGGACACCCUAACAAUUUCAUUUAAAGCAGAUAUCUUCCACUUGAUGGGCUUUAUAAAGAAUAUACUUAAUUGCUUUCAUGUGGUUCUUCUCAGUUAACCAGAAAGCUGAACUGGUUGUAACUAGGUCACACAUACUAUACUUCACUUCAUGAUAAUGUAGCUUAAAAAUGAUAAACACAUGAUAAAUGCACUGACAGUGUCACACUAAGAUCUUAGGUCACAGUUUCAAUAGUAUAGCCAUAAACUAAUAACCAGCCUCUUCAAAUGAUAUCUCUUUGAUUUAUCAUAUUUUAAGAUGAAAUACCUAAGUUUAAAAAUAUUAAAAUAUAAAAACAGUAUUUAAAAAAGAAAAAACUAUGUCAUUACAUUUUAAUUAUGUUUACAAGUCUUUUUUCUUUCUUUUACCAAAGAACUAAAUUAUGGUUACAGUUUAAAAAGUGGGCUAAAUAACAGGAUACAGUUGUCAAGGCUAAAAUUAAACAUAGUAGCAAUUUUUUUUGUAAAUAAAAAAAAUACAGUUUUAAGGAGAGAGAAUGCAUUAUAAAAUUAUAGUUUAAUUUUCUGAAAACAGUACAGGCAGGGUUACCUGUUGUUCACCACACUGUUUUGUAGAAAGUGCAGACUGAAUAAUUUUUUUUUCAAAAAGUGACUGUGUAAAACUCCAUGUAUCUAAAAAUUUAAUAGGAAAAGAUUCACUUAUCAAGUCUCUCAUGUGUUAAUAGACACAUUGCAGCAACCAAUUAGUGCUACUAGAACACUGCAGAAUUGCUCUGUUCUGCCCCAAAUCAAAGCAAUGUACUUCAUAAAUACCCUUGCACACC
RNAcentral lists this long non-coding RNA (3152 nucleotides) under Mus musculus (house mouse). Its description in RNAcentral is "long non-coding RNA chr6:12025760-12028912". The record is from RNAcentral. Lineage: Eukaryota; Metazoa; Chordata; Mammalia; Rodentia; Muridae.